AGGGUUUGAUCAUCGGUCAGAACGAACGCUGGCGGCGUGCUUAAGACAUGCAAGUCGAACGGUAAGGCUUGUCACUCUUCGGAGUGACUCGCACACGAGUGGCGCACGGGUGAGUAACGCGUGGGUAAUCUGCCUUCGGGUUUGGGACAACUCCGGGAAACUGGAGCUAAUACCGAAUAAGACCACGAGGUCCUUGGGCCUUGCGGAAAAAGGUGGCCUCUUCUUGAAAGCUAUCGCCUGUAGAUGAGCCCGCGUCCCAUUAGCUUGUUGGUGAGGUAAAAGCUCACCAAGGCAUCGAUGGGUAGCUGGUCUGAGAGGAUGAUCAGCCACACUGGAACUGAGACACGGUCCAGACUCCUACGGGAGGCAGCAGUCGGGAAUCUUGCACAAUGGGCGAAAGCCUGAUGCAGCAACGCCGCGUGAGGGAUGAAGGCCCUCGGGUCGUAAACCUCUGUCGGAAGGGAAGAACGUAUUUCGGGCCAAUACCCCGGAGUAUCGACGGUACCUUCAAAGGAAGCGCCGGCUAACUCCGUGCCAGCAGCCGCGGUAAUACGGAGGGCGCGAGCGUUAUUCGGAAUCAUUGGGCGUAAAGCGCGUUGUAGGCGGCUGGGUUAAGUCGGAUGUGAAAGCCCGGGGCCUCAACUCCGGAAUUGCAUACGAAACUGCC
RNAcentral lists this ribosomal RNA (667 nucleotides) under uncultured bacterium. RNAcentral describes it as "bacterial SSU rRNA". It matches the Rfam family "Bacterial small subunit ribosomal RNA", at positions 8 to 637 of the family's 1533-position model. The record is from RNAcentral.